AAUGCUCUAGAUUAGAGUUGAUCAUGGCUCAGAUUGAACGCUGGCGGCAGGCCUAACACAUGCAAGUCGAACGGUAACAGGAAGCAGCUUGCUGCUUUGCUUGACGAGUGGCGGACGGGUGAGUAAUGUCUGGGAAACUGCCUGAUGGAGGGGGAUAACUACUGGAAACGGUAGCUAAUACCGCAUAACGUCGCAAGACCAAAGAGGGGGACCUUCGGGCCUCUUGCCAUCG
Molecule: ribosomal RNA, 232 nt
Filed under: uncultured bacterium
Lineage: Bacteria
Description: partial 16S ribosomal RNA
Rfam family: Bacterial small subunit ribosomal RNA
Source: RNAcentral